CAGCAGCCGCGGUAAGACGAACCGUGCGAACGUUAUUCGGAAUUACUGGGCUUAAAGCGCGUGUAGGCGGGCCGCCACGUCGGUUGCUGAAAUCCCCCGGCUCAACCGGGGAAGUGGCAUCGAUACGAGCGGCCUUGAGGGGGGUAAGGGGAUCUGGAACUUCCGGUGGAGCGGUGAAAUGCGUUGAGAUCGGAAGGAACGCCCGUGGCGAGAGCGAGGUCCUGGACCCUUUCUGACGCUGAGACGCGAAAGCCAGGGGAGCGAACGGGAUUAGAUACCCCUGUAGUCCCUGUCUCUUAUU
RNAcentral lists this ribosomal RNA (301 nucleotides) under uncultured bacterium. Its description in RNAcentral is "partial 16S ribosomal RNA". It matches the Rfam family "Bacterial small subunit ribosomal RNA", at positions 509 to 807 of the family's 1533-position model. The record is from RNAcentral.